RNAcentral lists this ribosomal RNA (1527 nucleotides) under Peribacillus simplex. RNAcentral describes it as "bacterial SSU rRNA". It matches the Rfam family "Bacterial small subunit ribosomal RNA". Lineage: Bacteria; Bacillati; Bacillota; Bacilli; Caryophanales; Bacillaceae. The record is from RNAcentral.
UUUUAGAGUUUGGAUCUGGCUCAGGACGAACGCUGGCGGCGUGCCUAAUACAUGCAAGUCGAGCGAAUCGAUGGGAGCUUGCUCCCUGAGAUUAGCGGCGGACGGGUGAGUAACACGUGGGCAACCUGCCUAUAAGACUGGGAUAACUUCGGGAAACCGGAGCUAAUACCGGAUACGUUCUUUUCUCGCAUGAGAGAAGAUGGAAAGACGGUUUACGCUGUCACUUAUAGAUGGGCCCGCGGCGCAUUAGCUAGUUGGUGAGGUAAUGGCUCACCAAGGCGACGAUGCGUAGCCGACCUGAGAGGGUGAUCGGCCACACUGGGACUGAGACACGGCCCAGACUCCUACGGGAGGCAGCAGUAGGGAAUCUUCCGCAAUGGACGAAAGUCUGACGGAGCAACGCCGCGUGAACGAAGAAGGCCUUCGGGUCGUAAAGUUCUGUUGUUAGGGAAGAACAAGUACCAGAGUAACUGCUGGUACCUUGACGGUACCUAACCAGAAAGCCACGGCUAACUACGUGCCAGCAGCCGCGGUAAUACGUAGGUGGCAAGCGUUGUCCGGAAUUAUUGGGCGUAAAGCGCGCGCAGGUGGUUCCUUAAGUCUGAUGUGAAAGCCCACGGCUCAACCGUGGAGGGUCAUUGGAAACUGGGGAACUUGAGUGCAGAAGAGGAAAGUGGAAUUCCAAGUGUAGCGGUGAAAUGCGUAGAGAUUUGGAGGAACACCAGUGGCGAAGGCGACUUUCUGGUCUGUAACUGACACUGAGGCGCGAAAGCGUGGGGAGCAAACAGGAUUAGAUACCCUGGUAGUCCACGCCGUAAACGAUGAGUGCUAAGUGUUAGAGGGUUUCCGCCCUUUAGUGCUGCAGCUAACGCAUUAAGCACUCCGCCUGGGGAGUACGGCCGCAAGGCUGAAACUCAAAGGAAUUGACGGGGGCCCGCACAAGCGGUGGAGCAUGUGGUUUAAUUCGAAGCAACGCGAAGAACCUUACCAGGUCUUGACAUCCUCUGACAACCCUAGAGAUAGGGCUUUCCCCUUCGGGGGACAGAGUGACAGGUGGUGCAUGGUUGUCGUCAGCUCGUGUCGUGAGAUGUUGGGUUAAGUCCCGCAACGAGCGCAACCCUUGAUCUUAGUUGCCAGCAUUCAGUUGGGCACUCUAAGGUGACUGCCGGUGACAAACCGGAGGAAGGUGGGGAUGACGUCAAAUCAUCAUGCCCCUUAUGACCUGGGCUACACACGUGCUACAAUGGAUGGUACAAAGGGCUGCAAACCUGCGAAGGUAAGCGAAUCCCAUAAAGCCAUUCUCAGUUCGGAUUGCAGGCUGCAACUCGCCUGCAUGAAGCCGGAAUCGCUAGUAAUCGCGGAUCAGCAUGCCGCGGUGGAAUACGUUUCCCGGGCCUUGUACACACCGCCCCGUCACACCACGAGAGUUUGUAACACCCGAAGUCGGUGAGGUAACCUUCAUGGAGCCAGCCGCCUAAGGUGGGGACAGAUGAUUGGGGGUGAAGUCGUAACAGGGGUAACCCGUAA